GCAGCCAUGACAAGCAGCAUGUGAAGAUGCCAGUAAGCCACGAGCCACGUGCCAAGAGUUGGCUAGAAAUAUGAACUUGCAACAAGCAGGAUUUGAAGAGCUAGAAUCAAAGAGUGUUCAUCAUCACUGCACUGCAUCCCCCAAAUGAAUGGCAAAUAGCACAGGAGCAGGAAUAAUAACUGACAUCUCAUGGAGAAUGAGAGUGAUUUUCCAACAGUUGGCGACAUGGCUUCAGGAUUUUUCUUUAAGAAUGAGGCCAACAAGGUCACCAUCAAUCUACGAGGAGAAACUGAGAUCACCAGGUCAAGACGCAACCCUUUGCCAGGAAGGAAGGACAAGACAUCUGUGGAGUGAUGGCUCUUCUCCCCACCAUCUUCAGCCAUUCACCAACAGCUCAUUUUCAUCUCAGAUUGCUUCACAGCUUUCUCCACGAGUAUUGACAAGUCAUUGCUUCUUCUUUGUCCACCUAAAGAAACAUUUUAGGAUUUGUUCCCCCACCAAAGGAGUAGGUGGUGACCCAGGCUUCUACUUUUAGAAAGAACCCUGUGUGGUGGCUCUUUCUCAGCUCAGACUCACUCUGAGUCCACCUCAGAGCUCACUUUCAGCUCUACCAACA
Peromyscus maniculatus bairdii (prairie deer mouse) is the source of this 616-nucleotide non-coding RNA. The record is from RefSeq and is a predicted model, not a curated record. Lineage: Eukaryota; Metazoa; Chordata; Mammalia; Rodentia; Cricetidae.